GGUCUCGUGGUGUAGUGGUUAUCACGUCUGCCUGUCACGCAGAAGAUCGCGAGUUCGAACCUCGUCGAGACCGCCA
This 76-nucleotide transfer RNA is filed under the name Bacillota bacterium. Its description in RNAcentral is "tRNA-Asp". It matches the Rfam family "tRNA". Rfam says of the family: Transfer RNA (tRNA) molecules are approximately 80 nucleotides in length. Their secondary structure includes four short double-helical elements and three loops (D, anti-codon, and T loops). Lineage: Bacteria; Bacillati; Bacillota. The record is from RNAcentral.